This is an RNA transcript of Oxyura jamaicensis (ruddy duck), 5980 nucleotides long. It is a transcript of the gene named casein kinase 1 delta, with no coding region annotated. The transcript has 11 exons. NCBI's taxonomy places the organism in Eukaryota, Metazoa, Chordata, Aves, Anseriformes, Anatidae. The record is from RefSeq and is a predicted model, not a curated record.
AGUGAGGUCACACAGUAUGGCGGCUCGGGGCAGAAGGUGCUGACGCGUCGGUACUAUCUGGAAUCCGCGUCCAUCCUUCUCGGGAGUUGCGGCGACGGUGCUGCCUGCCUCGCUAUCGCUGAGCAGCAGGACUAAGGCCGCGAUGGCAUCAGGAACCGCAGGGCUGUGAGGCAGCAGAGCGCGAGCCUGCAGGGCGGGCGGAGCAACAGAACCGGGUCGCGGACGAACCGAGCUGACGCCAUGGAGCUGAGGGUUGGGAACCGGUACCGGCUGGGCCGGAAGAUCGGGAGCGGCUCCUUCGGUGACAUCUACCUGGGAACUGAUAUUGCUGCUGGAGAGGAGGUUGCAAUUAAGUUAGAAUGUGUGAAAACCAAACAUCCUCAGCUCCACAUUGAGAGUAAAAUCUACAAAAUGAUGCAGGGUGGAGUGGGUAUUCCCACAAUUAAGUGGUGUGGAGCUGAAGGGGACUACAAUGUCAUGGUGAUGGAGCUGCUGGGGCCGAGUCUUGAAGAUCUCUUCAAUUUUUGUUCAAGGAAAUUUAGUCUCAAGACAGUCUUGUUACUUGCUGACCAAAUGAUUAGUCGAAUUGAGUAUAUUCACUCUAAGAAUUUCAUCCACCGAGAUGUGAAACCAGAUAACUUCUUAAUGGGCCUGGGGAAGAAAGGAAAUCUUGUCUACAUAAUAGACUUUGGAUUAGCAAAGAAGUAUCGAGAUGCUCGAACUCACCAACACAUCCCGUAUCGUGAAAAUAAAAACUUAACAGGAACUGCUCGUUAUGCAUCCAUCAACACUCAUCUUGGAAUUGAGCAAUCUCGCAGAGAUGACUUGGAGUCCUUGGGCUAUGUACUGAUGUAUUUUAACCUGGGCUCCCUCCCCUGGCAGGGACUGAAAGCAGCAACAAAGAGGCAGAAAUAUGAACGUAUCAGUGAAAAGAAAAUGUCUACACCCAUUGAGGUUUUGUGUAAAGGAUAUCCUUCUGAAUUUGCCACAUACUUGAAUUUCUGCCGUUCUCUGCGUUUUGAUGACAAACCGGACUACUCCUAUCUAAGGCAAUUAUUCAGAAACCUCUUUCACCGACAAGGGUUCUCCUAUGACUAUGUGUUUGACUGGAACAUGCUGAAAUUUGGUGCAAGCAGAGCGACUGAAGAUGCUGAACGUGAAAGGAGAGAACGAGAGGAAAGAUUGAGACAUACACGAAAUCCAGCUGUUCGUGGACUACCCUCCACUGCUUCUGGCAGGCUGAGGGGAAUGCAAGAUGUAGCUCCUCCUACUCCUCUUACCCCAGCUUCACAUGCUGCCAACACUUCUCCUCGACCAGUGUCUGGUAUGGAACGAGAAAGGAAAGUGAGUAUGAGAUUGCAUCGUGGUGCCCCAGUCAAUGUCUCAUCAUCUGAUUUAACAGGCCGACAAGAUACUUCUCGCAUGUCAACUUCGCAGAAUAGCAUUCCUUUCGAACACCAUGGCAAGUAGCUGCUCGUCUCCUUUCGUUGGAAGGCAGCACUGGGUGAAUUUUCCAUGUUAACUUCUAAUAGAGGAGGAAAAUACAGGGAACUUCGUGUAGCUAAAGAUUCCUGCUCGGGUAACUACCAGUGUUCUUCAGUCCACUGUGCACCGAUGAAAAUUUAUUUUGCCAUGGAGGGCAGAUAAUGCAUGGCUGAUCUCCUAUGUUAUCAAUGGCUUUACUAGCAAAAAUACCCUAAACUAGAGUGGAAACAAUACAACUGGAGUUCUCCAUGUGACUUAAAAGGCACUUGGAGGAACAUGGACAGACUCCAGCAGCUGCCAUUACAGGACGCUUUUGCCAGAAACCCAGUGACCUUAAGAGAACCCUGUGGUAACAGGGCUGGAAAAGAAAGAUGGUUUACAGAGUUGACCGCCUGUUACUGGAUGGCCAUUUCAGUUUUCCCUUCACAGGCGGCAGACUUUAUCCCCUUUUUAUUAUUCUACUGUAACUAUAAAUCUUUUACUUGGUUUAAGAAAGUUUUUGUAUCAUUUUGCUAAAAUUAUUGGGUUAAUUCUCUGUAAAGAACUCUUGCUUUUCUCUGAUUUAAAAAUGUAGAAUAUAAACAGUCCUAAACUAAAGACAAUGACUUGAAAUUUUUUGUUUAAAAAACUUAGUCUGGCAGGGAGCAUGUAAAUGAAUCAAAAUCAUCUGACUGUAUUUAAACUGUUCACUUAUUUGUAUGGUCUUAUUCUGACUGAGAAGUUUUUCUCACAAAAUUUUUAAAACUGUUAAGCGUUUUACUUUACUGUUUGCCGUCUUCAUUCAUACUAAACAUUUCCAUGUAUUACAGAGGAAUUUUUAAUAUUCAUUCUUUUGCAUAAAAGAGGAAUCAAGACCCUGUAGAGAAUCAAAGUAUAGUAUAGAUGGUAAAAAUUGAUAUAUUUCUUUCUCAUUUUUUUUGUAAAGUAUAUGAAGAACAAAGUGAAAGACACUGGCAUUUAAAUGGAUUGUUUCAAAUACUGUUUUUAUUGGUAAAAUUUUGUUUCCUGCAUUCUGAGGCUGGUUAGCUUGGAGGGUACUAUAAGUGGACAAUGCAUGUUGCCACUGAGUCUUUAGUGAAUUUGCACAUUUAAUUCAGCAUCUACAUGUUCAAAAAAAAAAAAAAAGUAAUGAUGAUGAUUCGGGCCUUCUGUUUCAUGCCAAGAUUCAAAAAAAUGAAUUAUAAAAAAAAAAAAAAAAAAUGAAAAAGUGUUCUUGCUAUGAAAUCCAGAAAACUUUUAAAACUCAGGUGCAUACCAUAUUUAUUCCUGACUGUAUUCCACGUGAGUACUUCCAGAGUCAUUAGCCAUUAGCUUAAGAACGAAUGACUCAUGUUGUCCAAAAGAAUGUUCGAGGUGGUGUUAGCAAAUGUCCACAUGGAAUAUGGGAAAUACUUUGUAUUUUUUGUUACUGUAGACAGUUUCAUAAACUAAAAAUAGUUAUGUUGUCCAUGUAGUAAUUGGACUGCUAUCAGAAAUACUGUUUACGCUAGUAUCAAAGAAGUAAUGUGAAGUUCUGUGUUGGAAAUGAAAGUACGUAUGCAGAGUUUGCUUGAACAGUUAGUUGUUUUGAGAAAUUCCUCCUUGCUUAAAAACAAAAUUUUAAAGGAUUGCUGGUCUUAAGAGUAAUUUGAAGAGUAAUUUUUAUUGUUUCAAGGUUUGCAGACUCCUCCUUCCCCAAAGAAAAAAGUCCACAUACUAGAUAUCAGUCAUUUUUCUUUGGAUGUCUUUGUGACAUUAAGUAUUUGCUUGUGUGUACUCUGGAUCGGACAGGGGAAACUUGUCUUGGAGAAUACAGUUGAAGAGGUUAAGAGUUUAAUCCAUGGAUAAGUUUGCAAUAGAGAAUUAUUUCCUCAGUCACUAUAAACUUCAGUAUUUUAGGCAUGUGCACUACCAUUUGAACAGUUCUACACUUCACUGUGCUUUCCUUGUAAAUAUCUGUGGUUAAUAAUGUACUGUUAGAGGGACUUACAAAGGCUGCCUCUUUAUUCUCUCUGUAUCUGGAACAUUAGAUUGCUGUGCUAUACUUAAAAGUUGAUUGCAGACUUCUAGAAUUGUACUCAGUUGUGGGCAAUUUUUGUCCUUCAUAAUAGUUAAAAUUCCAUCAUGUGGAAAAUAGUUAGACUGUCUGUAUAAACCUGUGUAUUGGAAACCAGUAUCUCAGAGCACUUCAUUUGUACUACCACUGUAUUUGUGUACUUUAACGAUUGUGUAAAUACAUUCAUAAUGACUUCUGUUCUUCUUUGGUGUAACUUACUUACAAUGACUCUUUACUUGGUGUAAAUUUUGUAUUAUUAUUUUUGUAAUGGGUUUCUGUACAUAUAAAGAACAUUGUCAAUUCCAAACAUUUAAAGAAGUGGUGACAGGAUUUAAGUAGUCAUGGUUAGAUUGCAGCAGCUAGGGUAUGCAGGAAAAAAGAGAGGACGUUAAUUGCUUUGCUCACAAAGAACAUGUCUUUUGUCUCUAUAAAGGUAAAUGUUUUUCUUUAGAUAUUACUUAUUUUGUGGGUCCUUUUUUUUAAAAAAAAAAAAAUCAUUUUUCAAGUAAUACAUGAGAGGAAGUAUGGAAAGAGAAUUGCUAUUGAGACUUGAUCUGUUGUUAGAGCUGGAAAAAAAAGCAAUAAGAAAUACUGAGCUCUAUAUACAAAGCCUUAUAUAAUAAAAUUACCGGCUUUUGGUAUGUAAUCCUCAAAAGUCUAUUCAAAAUCUGAUAGCACACAUACCUUCAAAAUUACUGUUUCUGAUUAGUAGGCCUUUAAAAGCUGGAAGGAUAUUUAUUUUAUCUUCACAUUUUUAUUUAAAACUGGCUAUGUGUUUUUAUGUGGGAAAUCUCACAUGUAAUGCAGUUCUACAGAAUCAUAAUGGUUAGCAAAUCCCUGAAUUCUGUGUUACAAGUACCUUGAAAACAAUUGAAAAUAAGUCCGAUGCUUUAACUUUUAAGCUUCUCUUAACGUUACUCAUUUCAUAUAUAGAAAAUACUAAGUGAAAACAAACAAUGUUUCUGUUCUCUUAAUAGUGCUGAGCCAUAUGGUUAGAAAUCUAAAUUUAAUCCAGUUGUGAGGAAGUGUAAUCCCCAGUGAACUUAAUCUUGCAUCAGAGUAUCUUCUACACAGAGUAGUUCCUACAAUUCACUGGAUAAGACAGGUUAAUAAUAAAAAGUUUUUGCACUUCAAUUUGGGAAAAUUCUUGACCAAAAGUUAUGGGUAGGAUUUAGCCAUAAGAAAUAUAAACAUAAUAAAUAAAUAAGAAUGUGGAAAAGGGGAAAUUUGUGUGUAGCAUCCUAAAGCAUUAAGCACGUGUCUACUCUGUCUUUGUCUCCUGUGACCAAUUCAAGAUACUUGAGGAGGGUGGAGAGGGGUUGGUGGAAGUAGCACAGAAAUAAUUUGGUACAUCAUGGACUGGGAAGAUGUGUAGUCCUGAUUGCAUAACCAGACCAAACAUUUAGUUUAACUACAGUCCUCAUCUUGGCUCAAACCUGCAAGUGUUAAAGGCAUGAAGUCAAUGCAGUGCCCCUAGUAUCUCCCAUAAUCCUUAAGGAUUCACAGGGUUUUAGGGUCAUGCAGUUUUUUUUUCUUGAAAGGCCCCAAACAGAUGUACCUCUGUUCCCACUGUAAAUUAUAUUUUAAGUUUGUCUGGCAUUGUCGACCAGUGGAUUUUAUGCAACUUUUUUCAGCAAGACUAAAAAGACUUUUUCUACUUAAGAUUUUUAAAUACUGAAGUUUAGAUGCACUUCUUCAUUGGCUUCAGAGUUCUCCACUGAAAACAUUUAAACAGCUGAAACAGUAGUAGACAAAGAGUCAGAAGGGCAAGAGCUAUCCUCAUUUCUUAAUGCUCUGAAGCAUUCAUCUAGGACUAAUGAGGAACUUGCCAGAUGGAAUAUGGCUGAGAUGAUGAAGCAGGUAUUAAGAUUGGUCCAAGAACAAACAGUAUAUAACUAGAGGUAAGUAGCUUUUUACUCUGUGUACCUCUAACUUUACAUACUUUCUCAGACAAGUGCAGGAUCGUCGAUCUCAAAGACCAGGUCACUAGAAGAUUUUAAGAGCUCCUACUUUUUCAGUAGAUGCAUGUUCUUCCCACUAGCACAAAGAGUAGCUCUGUGUCAGAAGUAUUGAGAGGAUAUGUUGAUGUUGCUUCUCAUAUGCAAUGACUCUGCUAUUGUCAAAGUUGUUUACUCUUCAAAUACCAGCAGAUCACCUUCCUUCAGGUUUCUUGUUUUGGGUCCGGCUGCAGGGAACAAGAGCAGUGCAGUUCAGAUCAUGCCCAUUUUCCUCCACAGUGAAUGGCUGGACUCAUUUCAGACUUCAGAGAGUACUAGAUGCAAAGAUAAACUGUGGUUUUCCUUCACAAGGAUGUGCUGUGACUGCGUGCUAUUAAAGUCUGUCGUUUUGGUUCACCCAGUAACACUCAUUCUUGUAGUAGGAUGUGGCUUGAGCUGGCCAGUAAGGUAGCAUAGCAUUUGAUUAAACCUUAAGUCUUACCACUUUUGGCUAAACUAAAAA